Molecule: transfer RNA, 75 nt
Filed under: Methanococcoides vulcani
Lineage: Archaea; Methanobacteriati; Methanobacteriota; Methanomicrobia; Methanosarcinales; Methanosarcinaceae
Description: tRNA_Thr_GGT
Rfam family: tRNA
About the family: Transfer RNA (tRNA) molecules are approximately 80 nucleotides in length.
Source: RNAcentral
GCCUCGGUGGCUUAUGGGUAUAGCGCGUUCUUGGUAAGGACGAGGUCGCGGUUUCAAAUCCCGCCCGAGGCUCCA